GUACAAGCUUGGAGCAGACACCGACAGGCCGGGCUUCCUCCACUCUACACCUCCACUCUGUCUCUCUCAAUCUAGUAGAAACUAGAAGAUCUAUUUCUACCUUACAUUGAUUGCUAAGCCUAAAAAGAAAUAUUAAUUAGAGAAGAGGUUUUCCUUCGAGGGCACCCCUCAGUCUCUAUGAUAAUUUCUUCAUGUCUUCUCCAGGGGCC
RNAcentral lists this long non-coding RNA (209 nucleotides) under Sorghum bicolor (sorghum). RNAcentral's name for it is "long non-coding RNA (SBIC_LNC010118)". The record is from RNAcentral. Lineage: Eukaryota; Viridiplantae; Streptophyta; Magnoliopsida; Poales; Poaceae.